Molecule: ribosomal RNA, 800 nt
Filed under: uncultured bacterium
Lineage: Bacteria
Description: bacterial SSU rRNA
Rfam family: Bacterial small subunit ribosomal RNA
Source: RNAcentral
AGAGUUUGAUCCUGGCUCAGGAUGAACGCUGGCGGCGUGCCUAACACAUGCAAGUCGAACGAAGCGAUUUUUUGGAAGUUUUCGGAUGGAAGAAGGAUUGACUGAGUGGCGGACGGGUGAGUAACGCGUGGGUAACCUGCCUCAUACAGGGGGAUAACAGUUAGAAAUGACUGCUAAUACCGCAUAAGCGCACGGGACCGCAUGGUCCGGUGUGAAAAACUCCGGUGGUAUGAGAUGGACCCGCGUCUGAUUAGGUAGUUGGCGGGGUAACGGCCCACCAAGCCGACGAUCAGUAGCCGACCUGAGAGGGUGACCGGCCACAUUGGGACUGAGACACGGCCCAAACUCCUACGGGAGGCAGCAGUGGGGGAUAUUGCACAAUGGGGGAAACCUUGAUGCAGCGACGCCGCGUGAGUGAAGAAGUAUUUCGGUAUGUAAAGCUCUAUCAGCAGGGAAGAGGAAGACGGUACCUGACUAAGAAGCCCCGGCUAACUACGUGCCAGCAGCCGCGGUAAAACGUAGGGGGCAAGCGUUAUCCGGAUUUACUGGGUGUAAAGGGAGCGUAGACGGCGAUACAAGUCUGAAGUGAAAGCCCCGGGCUCAACCCGGGAACUGCUUUGGAAACUGCAUGGCUGGAGUGCUGGAGAGGUAAGCGGAAUUCCUAGUGUAGCGGUGAAAUGCGUAGAUAUUAGGAGGAACACCAGUGGCGAAGGCGGCUUACUGGACAGUAACUGACGUUGAGGCUCGAAAGCGUGGGGAGCAAACAGGAUUAGAUACCCUGGUAGUCCACGCGGUAAACG